RNAcentral lists this long non-coding RNA (378 nucleotides) under Ananas comosus (pineapple). RNAcentral's name for it is "long non-coding RNA (ACOM_LNC043380)". Lineage: Eukaryota; Viridiplantae; Streptophyta; Magnoliopsida; Poales; Bromeliaceae. The record is from RNAcentral.
UUCCCCUGUACUGCGGACAGAGCCUCCCCUGUACGUCCAAGGCGUCACAAUCCAUACAAUGCAAUACUUAAGGUUCCAACCCAGAACAGUAUUCAAACAAGAAUUGGAUAAGGAAGUAUCGAAAACAUAAAUACAACUAUACUAUUACAAGUAUUCAUCUCAGAUUUUACAUAUUACAUGCAUCUUACAUUUUAGUCUUCCAAAUACAAUCCAAAUUAUUACAAACUAUUGCAAUCUUAUUCUUUCCAUCACUAAACCCCUAAGCUAAGCCGACUUAGGGUACCGCUAUCUCUGGUCUCGGUGGUAGGGCACUAACUAUGGAGCUACGCCCUUGCCUCGCGCCGCCGCGCCGCUCACGUGUGAACCUGUAUCCCGAAA